This 501-nucleotide ribosomal RNA is filed under the name bacterium enrichment culture clone Cont243_3130. RNAcentral describes it as "bacterial SSU rRNA". It matches the Rfam family "Bacterial small subunit ribosomal RNA", at positions 8 to 525 of the family's 1533-position model. The record is from RNAcentral.
AGAGUUUGAUCCUGGCUCAGGACGAACGCUGGCGGCGUGCUUAACACAUGCAAGUCGAACGGACAUGCGGAUAGCUUGCUAGCUGCAUGUUUAGUGGCGGACGGGUGAGUAACGCGUGAAUACCUGUCCAUCGGAGGGGGACAACGGCUGGAAACGGCCGCUAAUACCGCGUAAGCCGAGAGGUGAAAGGUUGCCUUAGGGUAGCCGCCGAUGGGGGGUUCGCGUCCUAUCAGCUAGUUGGUGGGGUAAGGGCCUACCAAGGCGAAGACGGGUAGCCGGUCUGAGAGGGCGAUCGGCCACACUGGAACUGAGAUACGGUCCAGACUCCUACGGGAGGCAGCAGUGGGGAAUAUUGGGCAAUGGGGGAAACCCUGACCCAGCGACGCCGCGUGAGGGAUGAAGGUUUUUCGGAUCGUAAACCUCUGUUUGUACGGGGAAGAAGAAAGUGACGGUACCGUACGAGGAAGCCCGGCAAACUACGUGCCAGCMGCCGCGGUAAUA